RNAcentral lists this ribosomal RNA (1276 nucleotides) under uncultured bacterium. Its description in RNAcentral is "bacterial SSU rRNA". It matches the Rfam family "Bacterial small subunit ribosomal RNA", at positions 83 to 1381 of the family's 1533-position model. The record is from RNAcentral.
GAGUAAGACCAAGCGGCGGACGGGUGAGUAACGCGUGGGUAACCUGCCCUAUACACAUGGAUAACAUACUGAAAAGUUUACUAAUACAUGAUAAUAUAUAUUUACGGCAUCGUAGAUAUAUCAAAGUGUUAGCGGUAUAGGAUGGACCCGCGUCUGAUUAGCUAGUUGGUGAGAUAACUGCCCACCAAGGCGACGAUCAGUAGCCGACCUGAGAGGGUGAUCGGCCACAUUGGAACUGAGACACGGUCCAAACUCCUACGGGAGGCAGCAGUGGGGAAUAUUGCACAAUGGGCGCAAGCCUGAUGCAGCAACGCCGCGUGAACGAUGAAGGUCUUCGGAUCGUAAAGUUCUGUUGCAGGGGAAGAUAAUGACGGUACCCUGUGAGGAAGCCCCGGCUAACUACGUGCCAGCAGCCGCGGUAAUACGUAGGGGGCUAGCGUUAUCCGGAUUUACUGGGCGUAAAGGGUGCGUAGGUGGUCUUUCAAGUCGGUGGUUAAAGGCUACGGCUCAACCGUAGUUAGCCUCCGAAACUGGAAGACUUGAGUGCAGGAGAGGAAAGUGGAAUUCCCAGUGUAGCGGUGAAAUGCGUAGAUAUUGGGAGGAACACCAGUAGCGAAGGCGGCUUUCUGGACUGCAACUGACACUGAGGCACGAAAGCGUGGGUAGCAAACAGGAUUAGAUACCCUGGUAGUCCACGCUGUAAACGAUGAGUACUAGGUGUCGGGGGUUACCCCCCUCGGUGCCGCAGCUAACGCAUUAAGUACUCCGCCUGGGGAGUACGCACGCAAGUGUGAAACUCAAAGGAAUUGACGGGGACCCGCACAAGUAGCGGAGCAUGUGGUUUAAUUCGAAGCAACGCGAAGAACCUUACCUAAGCUUGACAUCCCUUAGACCGGUGUUUAAUCACACCUUCCCUUCGGGGCUGAGGUGACAGGUGGUGCAUGGUUGUCGUCAGCUCGUGUCGUGAGAUGUUGGGUUAAGUCCCGCAACGAGCGCAACCCUUGUCUUUAGUUGCCAGCAUUCAGUUGGGCACUCUAGAGAGACUGCCAGGGAUAACCUGGAGGAAGGUGGGGAUGACGUCAAAUCAUCAUGCCCCUUAUGCUUAGGGCUACACACGUGCUACAAUGGGUGGUACAGAGGGUUGCCAAACCGUGAGGUGGAGCUAAUCCCUUAAAGCCAUUCUCAGUUCGGAUUGUAGGCUGAAGCUCGCCUACAUGAAGCUGGAGUUACUAGUAAUCGCAGAUCAGAAUGCUGCGGUGAAUGCGUUCCCGGGUCU